RNAcentral lists this ribosomal RNA (526 nucleotides) under uncultured bacterium. RNAcentral's name for it is "partial 16S ribosomal RNA". It matches the Rfam family "Bacterial small subunit ribosomal RNA", at positions 355 to 874 of the family's 1533-position model. The record is from RNAcentral.
UGGGGAAUUUUGGACAAUGGGCGAAAGCCUGAUCCAGCAAUGCCGCGUGUGUGAAGAAGGCCUUCGGGUUGUAAAGCACUUUUGUCCGGAAAGAAAUCCUUGGCUCUAAUACAGUCGGGGGAUGACGGUACCGGAAGAAUAAGCACCGGCUAACUACGUGCCAGCAGCCGCGGUAAUACGUAGGGUGCAAGCGUUAAUCGGAAUUACUGGGCGUAAAGCGUGCGCAGGCGGUUUGCUAAGACCGAUGUGAAAUCCCCGGGCUCAACCUGGGAACUGCAUUGGUGACUGGCAGGCUAGAGUAUGGCAGAGGGGGGUAGAAUUCCACGUGUAGCAGUGAAAUGCGUAGAGAUGGUGGAGGAAUACCGAUGGCGAAGGCAGCCCCUGGGCCAAUACUGACGCUCAUGCACGAAAGCGUGGGGAGCAAACAGGAUUAGAUACCCUGGUAGUCCACGCCCUAAACGAUGUCAACUAGUUGUUGGGGAUUCAUUUCCUUAGUAACGUAGCUAACGCGUGAAGUUGACCGCCU